Molecule: non-coding RNA, 137 nt
Organism: Vibrio vulnificus YJ016
Lineage: Bacteria; Pseudomonadati; Pseudomonadota; Gammaproteobacteria; Vibrionales; Vibrionaceae
Source: Rfam
UCGGUUGUUUAACGUAUCAGGGUCCAGCAACAAAAAACCCCGACUAAUCGGGGUUUUUUGUUAUCUGUACUUCUCGCUGGUGCGAGUUUUGUACAGAUAGUGCUUGGUUUUUAUAUUGGGCUCUGAGCCCUUUUUUU